GACGAACGCUGGCGGCGUGCUUAACACAUGCAAGUCGAACGGAAAGGCCCUGCUUUUGUGGGGUGCUCGAGUGGCGAACGGGUGAGUAACACGUGAGUAACCUGCCCUUGACUUUGGGAUAACUUCAGGAAACUGGGGCUAAUACCGGAUAGGAGCUCCUGCUGCAUGGAGGGGGUUGGAAAGUUUCGGCGGUUGGGGAUGGACUCGCGGCUGAUCAGCUUGUUGGUGGGGUAGUGGCUUACCAAGUCUUUGACGGGUCGCCGGCCUGAGAGGGUGACCGGCGACAAUGGGACUGAGAUACGCCCCAGACUCCUACGGGAGGCAGCAGUGGGGAAUAUUGCACAAUGGGCGGAAGCCUGAUGCAGCAACGCCGCGUGCGGGAUGACGGCCUUCGGGUUGUAAACAGCUUUAGCCUGUGACGAAGCGUGAGUGACGGUAAUGGGUAAAGAAGCACCGGCUAACUACGUG
This 468-nucleotide ribosomal RNA is filed under the name uncultured bacterium. Its description in RNAcentral is "partial 16S ribosomal RNA". It matches the Rfam family "Bacterial small subunit ribosomal RNA", at positions 28 to 507 of the family's 1533-position model. The record is from RNAcentral.